UCUGUGUUUUUUCAUUGGGUUAGUUUUGGGGACCAGAUUUUUAAAGGAUAAAGUUAACUAAUAAUUAGUGCUGCAUGUUCCACAAACAUAAGGAUUAGAGAAGGAAUUUAUAUCUACAUGAAAGAGGUUAAUAUCUGCAUUAGACUAACACAAGAUCAAAGAAGCAGCAGCCAACGAGUCCUACGUGACAAGUUUCCUAUUAAGAGAAGGUCUGGAAUGCUGACACUGUUCUGCUUCUGUAGCAUGAUGAGAGAUUUUAGGAUUUUAAAAGGGCAGACCUAAUGCAGAAUCGGGUUGCCUGUUAGCAACUUGCUGAUUCGUGCAGGUUGCACUAUGCUCCUUGAGCUGGGCUCCUUCAAGUUAUUUUCAUGUAAAGCCCUUUGCAAUCAAAGUUUUAUGCUUUGUCUAUUUUUAAGUCUAUAUAUGCUGUUGUAGUGAUAGUCAGGCUUGAGGGAGGACUAGGCCUCAGUUGGAGUAACUGCUUGAAAGGUGGGCCUCUCCAAAUAAGGAAGAAAGCCCGGGAGAAUCAAAUCCCUGCGGCCCAGUCCAGAGUGAGGGGCAGGGUUUACUGGACCACAGCUUAUAGAAGAGCAGGGGAGUGGGGUAUUAGUGUCCAGUUCUUCCCUGGAGGCCUCGGAGUGAGGUCUGAUCAGCAACUACUGUGAGGAAAGGGGAGACUAGCUGCCUUGGACUGGGAAUCAACUGGGAGCUCCUUACCUGGAACAGGCAGCUCCCCCACUCCCAGUUCCUUGGGGAAAUUCGCAGUGAAGGAGAAAGAUAAGCAGAGACCAACAACACAAAAAGUUAUUUUUUUAGCUUGAGAUUCUCAGAGCCAAAGAGAACAUACAUUCCAAGCUUCCAUUUAACAGAGGCUGCAGGGUGAUUUUCUCCGCUGUACUGGGAGGAAGGGGUGUGCAAGAAUAGAAAGUCUGCAAUAAUACUGCCCAAGCUGGAGAAGCAUAUCGGGAAUUUAAACAUAUAGGUAAAUUAUUUAAAGAACUGUACUGGUGGAGUACUAAAGUGCAGAACUAAUAGCAGAUACAACAAGUCAUGGUUGUAAGCUCUACAUUUUGCUGUGGAAGCAUCAGAUAACCACAUUGAACUAUAAUUUCCUCUUUUGGCUAUUAUGAAGGUAACGGUCAGUUUUAUGGGUUGCCUGCAAAGGGGAAGAUUCUUCUCUGUCUUACCAUAUACCUUGCGCUUCAAACACUGCACCUUCAACCAACCUCAGCUCUUGGGCGUGGGAGUGAGACCCAGGCAAAGCCAGCAUGAUAUCAGUGUGGCUUCCUGCAGCUUGAGUAGUAGUUGAGGGUUGCAUACUCCAUCAGAGCAGCAAAGACAAAUAAAAAGCACACGGUCACAAACAGAUCCAUGGCAGUGACAUAGGAAACACGAGGAACAGGCUUGCAAGUGGCAUGGAGGGUUCCAAGUUUCGGAGGAACAGCUGAACAUCUGAUGCAAGAACGUGCUGUGACUGAAGCUCCACCCAUAGAAGGUGCCUCCACCUGAUUGUGACUGAUUCCUUCCUUCCCCUGCAGUUCUACAUGUUCCCACUACCUUCCCCUGACCCAAGGGGGAGGGGCUUUUCAGGGAUUGCAAGGGGCUCCGAUGGGAAGGGAAGAGGAUGGGGAAUUCUGCUUGUGAAAUUUUCCUUCCACUCAUGCAAGUCAGGCUAGCAUCCUUUAUUUUUGUGAGCUUGAAUAUGGAUGGCAUGUUGUAUUUGGGUUUUGGGGUGGGGUUGAACGAAUUCUCUAUAUAAAAGGUGCUUUUUUUUUUGUUUGGCUUGCUCCCUCUCAAAGUCGGAUCUGUCUCUUACUGUGUAUAUUUCCACCUCUGAAUUAUCCAUAUCUUGACGGUGUCAUAUGGUGUUCAAAGAAAGCUGCACACUACACACAGAAAGGGCUAAUAUUCAGAGAUAGCGUUUGGAAACAGUGCUAACCCAUGAGAGGCCUAUCCUUGAAAUAUAUUUUAGUAACCUAUUUGAGCUGUUCCUAAGCAUCAUAUUCCAAAAAUCUUUAUAUUGAAUUUGCCUCUCUGGUUGUUUAUGUAACUUGGAAUGAUUCCAGGGAAGUAAUGACAGAACUUAAGGCAAUUGCUGAGCUGCAUUGCCAUAAACAAUCCACAUACCAUAUUAUAAGUAAUUGGAUGCCAGAUGUGUAAAGCCCAAGGCUGGGAUGGGAGACAUUUCCUGAGAAUUGGCUUCUUUUGAAAAUUCUCAGAUGUUUCUCCUUGAGAGAAACCCAGACAUUUAUUUCACAUGUCACUUUUUUGAAAUUUCAGUGCCAAUCUGAGUGUGAAGUGCCAUUUAUGCCGGGAUCCUGGUGAAAAGGUUAAGAGGCCUGUGAUGAAGCCCAUCCAGAAAAGGGAUAAAAGAUGGAGCAAACUCAUUUGAUCAGGCCAAGCCAUAUCUCACAGGGUAUUUGCCUGGAGCAAGGUUUUAAUUAAGAUUGCACAGAAAUUUAGUGAAUGAUUGGUGAGUAGGGAAUGUCCAAGUGGCUCCAUAAAUCACUUUUGAGAUGCUUGAUAUAUACAGACUUGCAGGAGUGGCCAGUGAGGCUUGGGAUGGAGCGGGGAGUGGAGCAGGCAGGAGCAGAACUAGCUGCAACUGAAUCUCUCUCUUUCUCUCUCUCUCUUUUCCUGGCCCACUGUGUCUGCCUCUUCCUCACUCUCUUCUCAACCUGGCUUUAAAUUGAGCCAUGCAGGGUGAUCAUUCAUUGGGUGAACCAACCCCUUUCCCAUUACCUGGCUGCCUGGCAAAUGACCAGCUUGCACAGUGCAAAAAGAGAGAGGAAGAGGCAACUGCAGCAAGGUGAGAAGAGCGGGGUGGGGGCACAGCAGUGGCUGGUUCUGCACCUGCCUGCCCUGUUUUCCCCACAUCAGCCUCGCUGGCCAUGCCUGCAUGGGAGCUUUCCACAAGCAGCAAAUAGCCCAGCAAUCUUACUGGCCUGAAAAAGCAGGGAAAUAAGUGCAGGAAAGAAUUCAAUUCCAUUUGUGUGUGUGGGUGUGUGGCUGGACGUUGACCAGGAAUGUGUCCAUGACUGCAGAACACCAGCUGUAUGAUCCACAUGAAAUUGAUCAUCAAAAAAAUUGUUCAUUGCAAAUUAGAAGGAAUGUUGAUAUUACACAAUAACCUAGGCAGGAUUCACAUACAUCAUACAGAAAUUUUCUGAGAGCUUACCUAGGGCUGUU
Hemicordylus capensis (graceful crag lizard) is the source of this 3189-nucleotide long non-coding RNA. RefSeq lists it as uncharacterized. Lineage: Eukaryota; Metazoa; Chordata; Lepidosauria; Squamata; Cordylidae. The record is from RefSeq and is a predicted model, not a curated record. The transcript is spliced from 9 exons.